This 447-nucleotide ribosomal RNA is filed under the name uncultured bacterium. RNAcentral describes it as "bacterial SSU rRNA". It matches the Rfam family "Bacterial small subunit ribosomal RNA", at positions 355 to 825 of the family's 1533-position model. The record is from RNAcentral.
UGGGGAAUCUUGCACAAUGGGGGCAACCCUGAUGCAGCGACGCCGCGUGAGCGAUGAAGCCCUUCGGGGUUUAAAGCUCUUUCGGCAGGGAAGAUAAUGACGGUACCUGCAGAAUCAGCUGCGGCUAACUACGUGCCAGCAGCCGCGGUAAUACGUAGGCAGCGAGCGUUGUUCGGAGUUACUGGGCGUAAAGGGUGUGUAGGCGGUGCUCUAAGUGUGGUGUGAAAUCUCCCGGCUCAACUGGGAGGGUGCGCUACGAACUGGAGUGCUCGAGUGCGGGAUGGGAGAGUGGAAUUCCUGGUGUAGCGGUGAAAUGCGUAGAUAUCAGGAGGAACACCGGUGGUGUAGACGGCUCUCUGGACCGCAACUGACGCUGAGACACGAAAGCGUGGGUAGCAAACAGGAUUAGAUACCCAAGUAGUCCCUGAGCGGGCUGGCAAGGCGCAU